Molecule: ribosomal RNA, 468 nt
Filed under: uncultured Halomicrobium sp.
Lineage: Archaea; Methanobacteriati; Methanobacteriota; Halobacteria; Halobacteriales; Haloarculaceae
Description: bacterial SSU rRNA
Rfam family: Archaeal small subunit ribosomal RNA
Source: RNAcentral
CAGUGCGAUAAGGGGACUCCGAGUGCGAGGGCAUAUAGUCCUCGCUUUUCUGUACCGUAAGGUGGUACAGGAACAAGUGCUGGGCAAGACCGGUGCCAGCCGCCGCGGUAAUACCGGCAGCACGAGUGAUGGCCGCUCUUAUUGGGCCUAAAGCGUCCGUAGCCGGCCAGACAAGUCCGUUGGGAAAUCGACGCGCUCAACGCGUCGGCGUCCAGCGGAAACUGUCUGGCUUGGGGCCGGAAGACCCGAGGGGUACGUCCGGGGUAGGAGUGAAAUCCCGUAAUCCUGGACGGACCACCGGUGGCGAAAGCGCCUCAGGAAGACGGACCCGACGGUGAGGGACGAAAGCUAGGGUCUCGAACCGGAUUAGAUACCCGGGUAGUCCUAGCUGUAAACGAUGCUCGCUAGGUGUGGCGCAGGCUACGAGCCUGCGCUGUGCCGUAGGGAAGCCGUGAAGCGAGCCGCCUG